Molecule: ribosomal RNA, 422 nt
Filed under: uncultured bacterium
Lineage: Bacteria
Description: bacterial SSU rRNA
Rfam family: Bacterial small subunit ribosomal RNA
Source: RNAcentral
ACGCUCGACAGUGCCAGCAGCCGCGGUAAUACGAAGGGGGCUAGCGUUGCUCGGAAUUACUGGGCGUAAAGGGAGCGUAGGCGGAUAGUUCAGUCAGAGGUGAAAGCCCAGGGCUCAACCUUGGAACUGCCUUUGAUACUGGCUAUCUUGAGUUUGGGAGAGGUGUGUGGAACUCCGAGUGUAGAGGUGAAAUUCGUAGAUAUUCGGAAGAACACCAGUGGCGAAGGCGACACACUGGCCCAAUACUGACGCUGAGGCUCGAAAGCGUGGGGAGCAAACAGGAUUAGAUACCCUGGUAGUCCACGCCGUAAACGAUGAGUGCUAGUUGUCGGCAGGCAUGCCUGUCGGUGACGCAGCUAACGCAUUAAGCACUCCGCCUGGGGAGUACGGUCGCAAGAUUAAAACUUAAAGGAAUUGACGGG